Molecule: long non-coding RNA, 2305 nt
Organism: Peromyscus leucopus (white-footed mouse)
Lineage: Eukaryota; Metazoa; Chordata; Mammalia; Rodentia; Cricetidae
Exons: 2
Source: RefSeq, a predicted model, not a curated record
UCUUGCACUCCCAACCGCAUCCUUUUGCCUUACAUCCCCAGACCUUAGGAUUCUUUGUAUCUUCCAUUUAAAUGUUUUCUGUCAGAAGUCCAGAAGACCAAGGCACCAAAGAACCUCAGACACACUCGGACACUGAGGCAUUUCUAAACAUCUAUACGGUGAGCAUGAAGAGACAUUUAUAAUGGAGGUUUCUAGGCAUCUUACAGAAGUCACAACAGACCAAUCUAGACUUUGAAAGAGCAGACUAGAAUUACAAACUUAGGUUUUAGAAGACUUUUCCGGAUUCCAAAUCGGGGUUAUAGAGUAAAACUGGACAAAUGGGUUACGACGUCACACUAAAAAGCUGCCUUCUACACAGCGAAAGAAACAGUCAGUGGAGUAGAAAGACAACAUGUAGGAGGGGGAAUACAUCUGCAAAGCCCAAAUGAGGGAGGGGCUGAUCUCCGAAAUGCGUAAGAGUGGACAUGCCUUCUAGGAAGGGAGCUGUGUGAGGAGAGUUCUGAGAGCUGGUGAGAAGACUCCAGGAAAACAAGACAAGAGUUCUAUGACCUCAGUUUCUUCAAAACAUGGACUUGUUCUUGGAAUAUGCUUUUGUGUUCCUCCCGGUUGUAACGGGUAGGAGUGAGUUUACUUCAGAUGACUCACUGUCGCUGGCUGCUGUUAUUCAAUUAACUGUUCACACUUUCCUUUCUACGCUUCUACGGAAGAACUUGUCUUGCCGUGUAUGGCCUGUUCCUGUGACUGUACGGAGCUUGAACUCAUAAGAACUUCACUCAUGUGAUUCUCCUUAACCCUCAGAAUAGAACCUGUCUGAGGCUCUGGAUAAGCUUGGCUAUUGCAUUUAUUAUUUAUGUAGUCCACCACAUUUUUAGGCUCCAUUUCCCCAUGUCCCACUGCCUUUAGAGUGGUAAACAAGGGGUGUCACAAAUCAGGGACCUGCGGUCAGCGAUGAGACAAGAGAGUGGGGCCCUCACAGAAGGAAAUAAGCAAGCUGAUGCAUUAACCUGCCCUAUUUCUACUUCUCCAGAAGAAAACUGGGGAGGGUUAUACAUCUGUCAUUGCAGAUGGAUCACUGAGACAUUUGGGAUUCCUCUCUGGCUCCUCCAGCCCCGGGCCAUCAAGGACAAUGGCAGAAGGUGAGGAGACAGUGGAAGUCACCAGAAAGAUAGCAAACCUCCAGCUAAAGGGCAAAACAAGAAAUCAACCAUCUCAUCAGAAGCCAAGUCUGCCCAUCUGGGGUCAAGUUAAGGCCCUAUAUGCAUCAAGGAAGAAGUAAACACACAGAGCCCUUGUCACCUGAGAAUCUCUUUCUGGCAAUGCUAGCUGCUUGGACCUGUGCAUCUGUGGUGAGUACCUCUGAGCACAUGUACUGGUCAUAUGUUCCUCAUCUUCCACUGACCUGUGCAUCUGCAGUGAAUGCUGCCUGAGCAUGUGUAUUGGUCUUAAGUUCCUCAUCCUCCUUUGCUUCAACUUAUAGACUAGAUGGAUCCAGCUCCUGUUAUCUUUACUAAUGACUCUGUGUUUAUGACUGGACCUUGGGACUGUAACAGACUCAUUUAUUCAUCUGAAGAAGGCAAUGUAUUUUAUUUUUCCUUGGGAUUGAAAUCAUUUAUUUGCAUAGGACAUCAUAAUAUUUGUGUUCCUAUUAAAGGCAAACAUGGACUUACAUUCUACAAGAUAUCAGAACUACAUAUGGGUCUCUUUUCAAGAUAUUCUCUAGAUUUUUCCAGUCAGUAUAAUGAUGUGAUCAAUAAAACUGGACAUAGUUUGAAUCCCUGUUCUUGGUGGCAGAGUAUUACACACAAUGUUUUCACUGACCUAAUGUUUAUAAUGUGCUUGCUUAUAGGAUACUCAUGCAUCAAAUGACAGAUUUAUCUACAUCAUCUCAAGUCAAAACUGCUCUGGAAUCCUGUUUUAAAAAGGGGGGUGGGGAGUGUUGGAACACGGUCCAGGAAUCUCCAGAGCCAUGUGAGGAGAAUUCUGAGUUCUCGUGAGAACACUCCAAGGAAACAAGACAAAAGUCUUGUGACCUCAGUUUCUUCAAAACACAGAGUUGCUCUUGGAAUGUGUGCUCCUCUCAGGUGUAGCGGAUAGGAGUGAGUUUACUUCAGACUACUUGCUGCUGUUACUCAAUUAACUGUUUACACUAUCCUUUAGAGGCCUCUAGGGAAAAACGUGUUUUUGCCAUGUGUGGCCUGUCCUUGUGAUUACAUACAGCUUGAACUUAUGAGCACUUAGUCAUGUGAUUCUCCUUGACCCCAGGAGUAUAAAUUGUCUGAUGCUCUGAAUAAAGUUGGUUAUGGUA